CAAAAUAGUCAUGAAAAUUGUGCAUUGAAUGUUGGCUCAUUUUCCCAAACUUUCCCAUGAUGAUGGAAAAUAAAACUCAAGUUAAGAGGAGGGCUUCACUUUCCCCUGUACUUUCCCAUGUGCCAGCCAACCAUUUCUCAUGUCUGGACUUACCAAACAUGAGAAAGCAAUUAAAUUCCCAUUCCCAAGCCUCCUUUCCCAUGAAAUGGGGUCUAGGUGUAUAGAUUACCUUAUUUCUAUUUUUAGCAUUUCAGUAAACGUCUUUGUCCUUUUACUUUUAUUUAUUUUUAUAUAUAUUACUGUCACUCCCCGAACCUGGGGGUCAGUGGAAAUCCCUCGCCUAGUGCGUGAGAAAAAAAUUAAAAAUAAAAAAAAGAAAAAGAAAGAAGUUGUUUAAAAUCAACUUCUCUUAUAAAAAUAGCUCCAAAAUCUUACAACUUAACAAUAAAUAAAUAAACAAAUAAAGCUCUAUUACUCUUAUCUAAUUCAGUCUCAACUGGUUUAGUCCUUGUCUUACCCUUUAAUUCAUAUGAAAAAUUAAACAGGACGAGGGAUGAGCAACCACUACUCAGAAGGACAUAAGACCUUACCACAGUAUAUUGAUAUAAAUAAAUUAAGUGACAUACAAUCACACAACUAAAUAUCACAUUAAUAAUAUUAAUGCAUGAAUGCUCUUCAUCUACUCUCAUUAAUUCAUAUAACUGGACAAGCAAACUUGCACGUCCCAUACCAUGCUUAUACCACUUGGUCCUGAAUGCCCAUUUAUAUGAACUAACAUCCAUUUCAACCAUCCCAUAAUUCCCUUUUUGUUAGUCAUAUUGUCUAACUCCUUGUCGCAAGUCCCGCAUCACCCAAUAAAAAUCAUGUGCGAGAUCCCUGAGAUCUGGUACCAACCAUGCAUUCCACUCAACUAUACAAAAGAUCAUUCCCAUUACCCUCUUUCCACCAUUAUUUUCUCAACCCAAGAACUCCAAAUAAUUUCCAUGACAUGAUAUAGUUCUUCUUUUCACAUAACUCAUAAAAACAAUGUAAUCAUUUAAAUAUCACCAAUAUACAUAUAAUCAUGCCAACAUUAAUUAAAUAAUUAACAACACGUAAACACCCAAUGUCAAGAACAUCCAUCAAAUUAUAAUAUCACGCAUAACAUAGUGCUCACGAAAUUUAAUUAAGUCAAUCCCCGUAAAGGCUCC
This 1190-nucleotide long non-coding RNA is filed under the name Prunus persica (peach). Its description in RNAcentral is "long non-coding RNA (PPER_LNC005842)". Lineage: Eukaryota; Viridiplantae; Streptophyta; Magnoliopsida; Rosales; Rosaceae. The record is from RNAcentral.